RNAcentral lists this long non-coding RNA (2252 nucleotides) under Calidris pugnax (ruff). RNAcentral's name for it is "lncRNA (ENSCPUG00000004194.1)". Lineage: Eukaryota; Metazoa; Chordata; Aves; Charadriiformes; Scolopacidae. The record is from RNAcentral.
CCCCCCACUUCCUCUCCCACCCCUACUCAUUAAUGCUUGGCUGCAGUGGAGGCUUUGAGGUUUAUUUAGGUGCACGAUAUCUGGGUGCUGCACACAGGCACUGUGGGAGAGAUAAUGAGCCUCUCUGGUCACUGAGUUUCACUCUCUAACACAGCCAGUACAGAAAACAAUUCAGCCAGCAGGGAAACCAAGCCAAAAUUGGCGAGCCAAGGGUGCUGAGAUCCAGUGGAAGGAUGGGAAACUGCCUGCCAAAACUCAGGUGGAAAGCACACAACCCCAUCAGGAGAAAAAGAUACUCCCACAAAGAAACACAGACCUACAGCGAUUCGCCAAGUACUGUCCAGGAACAUUUUGCCAAAAAAGGUUCUAUGAAUUCCAGUGAACUGUGGUACUCAACUGUCAGCCACGAUGUGAAACAGGAAGCCUCUGUGAUUAACACCGAUAAUCAGACAGAAUAUGCAUUUGUCAAUGUGCCCAAGAAGAAGACAAAUACCAUCAGGACUGAAGAGCACAAUGAAUAUGAUUAUGUCAUUAUAACUUAGACAGGGACACUUUCUCCUCCCAAGUCACUCUUUCACCCGAACGUUUAAGCCAGCAGUAAGCAGCCUUGCAAAACACCCUACCUCUGCUGUCAUGUCUUCAAACCAACAUCUCUCUCUCAUUACCAAGCUUAAACAUUAGGACACACCUGCUGGUCAUUUCCAAUUAGACAAACCUGUCCAUGAAAAGGUGAUCAGAGAAAGAGGAUACAGGACUUGAUGAUUAAAGCAAGAGGCACCAGCAACAACCGCCAUUGUAAGACAAUGUUUCUCCAUAGAAAAUUAAGUGCUUCAUUACCAGAAGCAACUGAGGCUGUAUAUUUUUCUGGACUUUUAUAGUAAUUUUUUUUUUAGAGAGGAGUCUUAUAGAACUACUAAUUGAAACCUCCCUAAAAUGCAAUAAUAAUAUCCCUUAUGUUGGUUUUGUUUGUUUUCUUUUGGGGGGAAGGAGGGGUCAGGCUUGUGUUUAAAAUGGAAGGCAUAGACCCUGUGCUAGGUGCACUUAUUCUUUUCUAAAGUUUCUCUGGCCUGCUUGAUAUAUACCAUUAUAUAUACCAUGACACAAUGUACAAUUUAGAUAAAUAACUCAUUUCUCAAAUUGCCCCCCAAGCCCUUUUAAUGUAAUCGGCUUGAGAAUGAAGUCUUAACAAAUUUGGAAUUAAAUUUUAAAAGGCAACAAACUUCACGCAAAGCAAAAGUUCCAGCUGCUUCACAUCACUGCCCCUUAGAAGACUAUAAAAGCAAUGAAGACCGCGAUGCUGCACGGGAGUAACUGCACACCUCUCAGUAGAAGUUUCCCAGGUGUUGCUUUUGUGACACAGCGCUUCCAGCUCGCUCUGCUGGAGUCUCAGAACCUGGCUCUCUGCAAUGACAGAACAUCACCUCUCCAUAGCCCACCACCCCUCUGCAAACAGCGUUUGUGGACACAGAAUCAGAAUCACAGAAUCUUCUAGGCUGGAAGGGACCUUAAAGAUCAUCUUGUCCAACCAUCAACCUAACUGACAAAAAUAGACACCCACACAACAAACAAGGAGCAUCAUCACUAAACCAUACCUCCCAGCACUACAUCAACCCGUCUUUUGAACACCUCCAGGGAUGGUGCCUCAACCACCUCCCUGGGCAGCCCAUUCCAAUGUCUGAUAACCCUUUCAGUGAAAAAAUUUUUCCUAAUAUCCAGCCUGAACCUGCCCUGGCGCAACUUGAGGCCAUUUCCUCUUGUCCUGUCGCCUGUGACUUGAGAAAAGAGACUGACCCCCAUCUCUCUACACCCUCCUUUCAGGUAGUUGUAGAGAGCAAUAAGGUCUCCCCUCAGCCUCCUCUUCUCCAGGCUGAAUAACCCCAGUUCCCUCAGCCUCUCCUCGUAAGACUUAUUCUCCAGACCCCUCACCAUCUUUGUCGCCCUUCUCUGGACCCGCUCCAGCACCUCAAUGUCUUUUUUUAUGGUAGGGGGCCCAAAACUGGACACAGUACUCAAGGUGAGGCCUCACCAGUGCUGAGUACGGGGGGACAAUCACCUCUCGGGUCCUACUCGCCACACUGUUCCUGAUACACCUGCAGAGGACUGCAACCUGCUAUUCAACUGUUCACCAGGGCUCUUAAAGCCAUUACAUGCCUGUGCUCUUGCUUAAGCAUGUUUGUUUGGUGGUUUGGGUUUUCUUUUGCUCCCUCCGUUUUUGUAAUAAAACAAUUUGGAAGAAAACGUUGAAUGGUUUU